Molecule: long non-coding RNA, 413 nt
Organism: Portunus trituberculatus (swimming crab)
Lineage: Eukaryota; Metazoa; Arthropoda; Malacostraca; Decapoda; Portunidae
Exons: 3
Source: RefSeq, a predicted model, not a curated record
GCGACGUUGAGGCACACACUAGGUACGCAGAGUGGCUGGUGGAAUUAUCAUGUGUCAGUGACUAAUUACGAGCCAAGUGCCCUCUGGCUUGUGAGACUGUGACUUGUUAAAGACGACAGGCAGAGCGAGACUGGUGGUGAGUACUGGUUUGUCACUGUCAUCUCGUCUGGAAACUCGCCAUAAAAGCUUCAUCACUCUGAGCACAAGUACGAGACUUUGAUCCUCGGAGUGGAAAGCUGCCGCUGGAUCGCAUUGUGUGAACCGGGACGAGGUGAUGCAGCAUUCUGAGGCGCCGAGCUCCAGCCUAUACCAGCUUGUGCGUGGGUGGGAAGGAAGGAGCGAGGCAGAGGAAGAGAUAUACGUACGUAGUUCACGCAAUGUAUAUCGCAAUGCGGCGUGAUGUGAACUGAAGA